GCCUGUAGCCAUGCUACCUCAGGAUGUGAUCUCAGAGCCUAAGCAGGGUCAGUGCUGGUUAGUUGUUAGAUGGGGAGCUCCAAGGAAAAUCCAGCUGCUGAAAGAA
Molecule: ribosomal RNA, 106 nt
Filed under: Chelonoidis abingdonii (Abingdon island giant tortoise)
Lineage: Eukaryota; Metazoa; Chordata; Testudines; Testudinidae
Source: RNAcentral